This 204-nucleotide long non-coding RNA is filed under the name Coffea arabica (coffee). RNAcentral describes it as "long non-coding RNA (CARA_LNC004277)". The record is from RNAcentral. Lineage: Eukaryota; Viridiplantae; Streptophyta; Magnoliopsida; Gentianales; Rubiaceae.
UAGAUACUUGGAUGCCAGCCACAGUUACAUAUUAGGAGGCUUAAAUAAGCUUCAUUGCCUAAUGAAGUACAGCAUUGAUGGUUAAACUAUUACUAAGUAUAUUACGAUCCAUUACUUUUUAAGUCAAAAGAAUAAUGGAUCAUAAUAUAAUUCAAAAGAUAUUGUCUAAGCAAUGGAGGAAAGGCAAUGAACAAAAGAUUUAAC